GAUGAACGCUGGUGGCGUGCCUAAUACAUGCAAGUCGAGCGAACAGACGAGGAGCUUGCUCCUCUGACGUUAGCGGCGGACGGGUGAGUAACACGUGGAUAACCUACCUAUAAGACUGGGAUAACUUCGGGAAACCGGAGCUAAUACCGGAUAAUAUAUUGAACCGCAUGGUUCAAUAGUGAAAGACGGUUUUGCUGUCACUUAUAGAUGGAUCCGCGCCGCAUUAGCUAGUUGGUAAGGUAACGGCUUACCAAGGCAACGAUGCGUAGCCGACCUGAGAGGGUGAUCGGCCACACUGGAACUGAGACACGGUCCAGACUCCUACGGGAGGCAGCAGUAGGGAAUCUUCCGCAAUGGGCGAAAGCCUGACGGAGCAACGCCGCGUGAAUGAUGAAGGUCUUCGGAUCGUAAAACUCUGUUAUUAGGGAAGAACAAAUGUGUAAGUAACUAUGCACGUCUUGACGGUACCUAAUCAGAAAGCCACGGCUAGCUACGU
RNAcentral lists this ribosomal RNA (496 nucleotides) under uncultured bacterium. RNAcentral's name for it is "partial 16S ribosomal RNA". It matches the Rfam family "Bacterial small subunit ribosomal RNA", at positions 28 to 506 of the family's 1533-position model. The record is from RNAcentral.